GAUGAACGCUAGCGGCAGGCCUAACACAUGCAAGUCGAGGGGUAUCCCGCUUUCGGGCGGGAGAGACCGGCGCACGGGUGCGUAACGCGUAUGCCACCUACCCUGUACUGGGGGAUAGCCCGGAGAAAUUCGGAUUAACACCCCAUAGUACUAAUGAAUGGCAUCAUUUAUUAGUUAAAGGUUACAGUACAGGAUGGGCAUGCGUCCUAAUAGCUAGAUGGUAAGGUAACGGCUUACCAUGGCUACGAUAGGUAGGGGGACUGAGAGGGUGGUCCCCCACACUGGUACUGAGACACGGACCAGACUCCUACGGGAGGCAGCAGUGAGGAAUAUUGGUCAAUGGGCGCAAGCCUGAACCAGCCAUGCCGCGUGCAGGAAGACGGUCCUAUGGAUUGUAAACUGCUUUUAUUUGGGAAUAAACCUCUUUACGUGUAGAGAGCGGAAGGUACCAAAUGAAUAAGCACCGGCUAACUCCGUGCCAGCAGCCGCCGUAA
RNAcentral lists this ribosomal RNA (494 nucleotides) under uncultured bacterium. RNAcentral's name for it is "partial 16S ribosomal RNA". It matches the Rfam family "Bacterial small subunit ribosomal RNA", at positions 28 to 523 of the family's 1533-position model. The record is from RNAcentral.